This 445-nucleotide ribosomal RNA is filed under the name uncultured cyanobacterium. Its description in RNAcentral is "bacterial SSU rRNA". It matches the Rfam family "Bacterial small subunit ribosomal RNA", at positions 8 to 499 of the family's 1533-position model. The record is from RNAcentral. Lineage: Bacteria; Bacillati; Cyanobacteriota.
AGGCUUUGAUCCUGGCUCAGGAUGAACGCUGGCGGUAUGCUUAACACAUGCAAGUCGAACGGUCUCUUCGGAGAUAGUGGCGGACGGGUGAGUAACGCGUGAGAAUCUGGCUCUAGGUCUGGGACAACAGAUGGAAACGUCUGCUAAUACCGGAUGUGCCGAGAGGUGAAAGGCUAGCUGCCUGGAGAUGAGCUCGCGUCAGAUUAGCUAGUAGGUGGGGUAAAGGCCUACCUAGGCGACGAUCUGUAGCUGGUCUGAGAGGACGAUCAGCCACACUGGGACUGAGACACGGCCCAGACUCCUACGGGAGGCAGCAGUGGGGAAUUUUCCGCAAUGGGCGAAAGCCUGACGGAGCAAUACCGCGUGAGGGAGGAAGGCUCUUGGGUUGUAAACCUCUUUUCUCAAGGAAUAAGAAUGAAGGUACUUGAGGAAUAAGCAUCGGCUA